GCCGGAAUGGCGGAAUUGGUAGACGCGUAAGAUUCAGAAUCUUAUAGAUAAUAAAGUCUGUGCGGGUUCAAGUCCCACUUCCGGCA
Molecule: transfer RNA, 86 nt
Filed under: Oceanotoga teriensis
Lineage: Bacteria; Thermotogati; Thermotogota; Thermotogae; Petrotogales; Petrotogaceae
Description: Thermotogales bacterium OCT74 tRNA
Rfam family: tRNA
About the family: Transfer RNA (tRNA) molecules are approximately 80 nucleotides in length. Their secondary structure includes four short double-helical elements and three loops (D, anti-codon, and T loops). Further hydrogen bonds mediate the characteristic L-shaped molecular structure. tRNAs have two regions of fundamental functional importance: the anti-codon, which is responsible for specific mRNA codon recognition, and the 3' end, to which the tRNAs corresponding amino acid is attached (by aminoacyl-tRNA synthetases). tRNAs cope with the degeneracy of the genetic code in two manners: having more than one tRNA (with a specific anti-codon) for a particular amino acid; and 'wobble' base-pairing, i.e. permitting non-standard base-pairing at the 3rd anti-codon position.
Source: Rfam by way of RNAcentral